Long non-coding RNA from Gorilla gorilla gorilla (western lowland gorilla), 618 nucleotides. RefSeq lists it as uncharacterized. The transcript is spliced from 3 exons. The record is from RefSeq and is a predicted model, not a curated record. NCBI's taxonomy places the organism in Eukaryota, Metazoa, Chordata, Mammalia, Primates, Hominidae.
CCCAGGCCCGGGGAGGGCCAGCCUGGCUGCUCACGGGACCCUCCCUUGUUGGCCCGGCCGUGGCCGGGAACCCACGCGUGGCCGGUGCGCGCUGCCAGUGCUGUAGCUGAGGUUCGGGUUCGGCCCGCGCCCGGCGUGAACAAAGCGGCGGCCAAGGCCUGGGACUGCGGGGACUGAGCCGCCGGCUCCACGCCGCCCCCAGGCCCAGAAGAAACACCGACUGCGGGCCAGGCACAGCACCCGGCCGGGGAAAGGACCCCCCGAGUUACGCGCAAACUUUCUUCGAAUGGCGCCCAGCCUCAGGGCCGACUCCCCGCGCCUACCUCGGCUCUCCGGGCCGCCUCCCGCUGCUGCCCGAUUCCGCGUCCGGAGCGAGCGGGAGCUGCAGCGGGCUCCGCGGACCGGGCGCGGGACUAAAGAGUGUCCAAUAAACGCGACUCCAGGGCAGCGUUUUAGGGGAAAGCAAUAAAAACUCACGGUAGAAUGGAAGCUGCCCUGAAGGAAUGGAACUACGAGACUGGGACUGGGGCUGGGACUGGGGCUGUGGGGAGGGAAAGCACAUACAGUGUAAAAACGAUUGUGUGACAUUAAAUCGAAAAGCACAAAUCAUCAUGCAGU